Molecule: non-coding RNA, 91 nt
Organism: Mycena rebaudengoi
Lineage: Eukaryota; Fungi; Basidiomycota; Agaricomycetes; Agaricales; Mycenaceae
Source: the annotation of a GenBank genome assembly
GCACCGGUGGUGCAUGGUGGAUUCCUCAUAUAAUUCGGGGAUACAAUAGCCAUGAUUGAGGUGGUACGGGGUUGGAUUCCCCGCCGGUGCC